This 301-nucleotide ribosomal RNA is filed under the name uncultured bacterium. RNAcentral describes it as "partial 16S ribosomal RNA". It matches the Rfam family "Bacterial small subunit ribosomal RNA", at positions 509 to 807 of the family's 1533-position model. The record is from RNAcentral.
CAGUAGCCGCGGUAAAACAGAGGGUGCAAGCGUUAAUCGGAAUUACUGGGCGUAAAGCGCGCGUAGGUGGUUCGCCAAGUUGGAUGUGAAAUCCCCGGGCUCAACCUGGGAACUGCAUCCAAAACUGGCGAGCUAGAGUAUGGUAGAGGGUGGUGGAAUUUCCUGUGUAGCGGUGAAAUGCGUAGAUAUAGGAAGGAACAUCAGUGGCGAAGGCGACCACCUGGACUGAUACUGACACUGAGGUGCGAAAGCGUGGGGAGCAAACAGGAUUAGAUACCCCAGUAGUCCCUGUCUCUUAUAC